GGGUAGUUUGACUGGGGCGGUCUCCUCCUAAAGAGUAACGGAGGAGCACGAAGGUCAGCUAAUCCUGGUCGGACAUCAGGAGGUUAGUGCAAUGGCAUAAGCUGGCUUGACUGCGAGCGUGACGGCGCGAGCAGGUGCGAAAGCAGGUCAUAGUGAUCCGGUGGUUCUGAAUGGAAGGGCCAUCGCUCAACGGAUAAAAGGUACUCCGGGGAUAACAGGCUGAUACCGCCCAAGAGUUCAUAUCGACGGCGGUGUUUGGCACCUCGAUGUCGGCUCAUCACAUCCUGGGGCUGAAGUAGGUCCCAAGGGUAUGGCUGUUCGCCAUUUAAAGUGGUACGCGAGCUGGGUUUAGAACGUCGUGAGACAGUUCGGUCCCUAUCUGCCGUGGGCGCUGGAGAAUUGAGGGGGGCUGCUCCUAGUACGAGAGGACCGGAGUGGACGCAUCACUGGUGUUCGGGUUGUCAUGCCAAUGGCAUUGCCCGGUAGCUAAAUGCGGAAGAGAUAAGUGCUGAAAGCAUCUAAGCACGAAACUUGCCCCGAGAUGAGUUCU
Molecule: ribosomal RNA, 550 nt
Filed under: Klebsiella oxytoca
Lineage: Bacteria; Pseudomonadati; Pseudomonadota; Gammaproteobacteria; Enterobacterales; Enterobacteriaceae
Also listed under: 1 other name
Description: partial 23S ribosomal RNA
Rfam family: Bacterial large subunit ribosomal RNA
Source: RNAcentral